Molecule: long non-coding RNA, 416 nt
Filed under: Homo sapiens (human)
Lineage: Eukaryota; Metazoa; Chordata; Mammalia; Primates; Hominidae
Description: long independently transcribed non-coding RNA 457 (LINC00457)
Source: RNAcentral
UACAAGAAAUGCAAUCAGGGGGAGCAGAAUGACGCAGAGGAGUCUGGAAGCUCAGGAUUGCAUUAAGCGACUUUCCCAUACUGUGAGGAGAUGUGGUGGGGACCAUUAACUGUUGGAAGGAUUCCUUUUAAGGAUGCAUUAUAUCAAGAGCUAGAUAUCAGAGCCACUUGGGAGAAAUAAGAAACAGGUGUAGAAACAGUCGCAGAUUGGCAUGAGCUGUGGAGAAAGAGUCUGGAUUCUGGGUUGCUGUGUCACACACAGCCCACUUGCAGGAUGACAGUGGAAGAAUGAGUCAUGAUCUCUGCAAGCGCCCAUCAAGAACAGCCUGAGAGGUCUGGAAAGUGCUCACCCCAGGACCCUUCAUGUCCUUAUUAAAAUUGUAUGGCAGAAAAAAAAAAAAAAAAAAAAAAAAAAAA